CUCCCAUCCGUGUGAUGC
Molecule: non-coding RNA, 18 nt
Filed under: Arabidopsis thaliana (thale cress)
Lineage: Eukaryota; Viridiplantae; Streptophyta; Magnoliopsida; Brassicales; Brassicaceae
Source: RNAcentral